This 8264-nucleotide long non-coding RNA is filed under the name Equus caballus (horse). Its description in RNAcentral is "lncRNA (ENSECAG00000046765.1)". Lineage: Eukaryota; Metazoa; Chordata; Mammalia; Perissodactyla; Equidae. The record is from RNAcentral.
AGCUUUCAAAUUCUUUUUUUUUUUUUGAGAAAAUUAUAACUUAUUAAAACUGGGCAACACUGUAUAGCACAAAGGAAGAGAGAGAGAGGGAGGAGAGGAAGGAAGGAAGGGAAGGAAAGGGAAUUCUAGGCCAGUUUACUUUGGAACAUGCAAGCUGAAGUUCUGAUUAUAAUAUUAACAAAUAGAAUCUAACAACAUAUGAAGAGAAUAAUACGUCAUGACCUAGUAGGGUUUAUUCCAGGAAAAUAAGAUUGAGUCAAUAUAUGAAAUCUUUCAACAUAAUUCAUUAUAUUGAAACAUUAACAAAAUCCUUAUAGCAUUUCAGUAGAUAUCAAAAUAGUGUUUUGUGAAAUUCAACAUCUAUUCAUGAUUUAAAGAAAAAUAUUUUAGGGGCUGGCCCAGUGGCGCAGCGGUUAAGUUCGCACGUUCCCUUCUCAGCGGCCCAGGGUUCGCAGGUUCAGAUCCCGGGUGCGGACAUGGCACUGCUUGGCAAAAGCCAUGCUGUGGUAGGCAUCCCACGUAUAAAGUAGAGGAAGAUGGGCACAGAUGUUAGCUCAGGGCCAAUCUUCCUCAUCGAAAAGAGGAGGAUUGGCAGCAGUUAGCUCAGGGCUAAUCUUCCUCAAAAAAAAAAAAAAAAAAAUUUUAGCAAGCUAAGGAUUGAAAGUUAGCUUUCACUUUUUCAUACUCUUCUAAUUCUAUAAGAGUUUAAGACAAUGAUUGUGUGCAUUGCUUGUGCAAUUUUAAAAAAUUAAGUCAUGCAGAAAAAUCAGCCACUUACAUCAUGAUCAAGUUCAUUACAUAAUGUCCAGCUCUCCAUUUUUCUAUCUCCACCAUCACAGCCUUUGUCAUGAGACAAAAAUAACAAGAACUUUUUUUAAUAUAUAGAAAAUAAUAGAAAUGAACAUAUAUGAUCUCUAUAAAUUUGUCAUCUUUGAUUUUUUUUAAGAUUUUUAUUUAUUUUAUUUUUUUUUCCUUUUUCUCCCCAAAGCUCCCCGGUACAUAGUUGUGCAUUUUUAGUUGUGGGUCCUUCUAGUUGUGGCAUGUGGGACGCCUCCCCAGUAUGGCCUCAUGAGCGGCGCCAUGUCCGAGCCCAGGAUUCGAACCAGCGAAACCUGGGGCCGCCGAAGCGGAUUGCUCGAACUUAACCAUUCAGCCACGGGGCGGCCCUGUCUUUGAUUUUUAAUGAAUAUCCAUGCACCGAUGUUAGAAUUCUGGGCAUAUGAAGCAUUAAUUCCCUCCUGAAUUAUUUAAACCAUCCCAUUUCGGUAGGUUCACACGUGAAUAAUUAGCUUGAAUAAUUCCAUGAUAAAGAGCCUUAUGAAUUCUUAGGAAAUCUAAAUGGUCUUACUACAAAGUUUUAAUGUCAAUCUUAAAAUUUGAGGGAGUCAUUCUUGAAACACUAAGGUACAGAGAAUAUGGACAUAAAGGAAGAAAAAGGUCUUCCAAAAAUAAAAAAGAACAUAAACAUAAUGUAGCGGCCUAGCCAACAAGGUCGUUUGUGAAUUUGUUGCUGAGUGGGAAACCACCAGACGCCACAUCAGAAAGGCUUGACUCAAAUUGCACCGAUGUAAAAAAUGGCCCCCACCUGCCAAGCAAAACAAAACAAUGUGCUGUGUCCUAUUGUGUUAUAAAAAUAAUAACAAAAAACGAAAAUAGUGAUAAGGCCCCUGUUUGCAAAGCAUUUACGUGGUGGAGCAUGUCUCCACAGCUGGUUGGCCGUCCAUCUUAGGCACAUGAAUCUCACCUGGGUUUUAUGGCAAGCUCCCUGGGCACCUGGGAAACAAGUUCCUCCAGUGGCUCCACGGACGUGGUGGAGGGUCCUUGGGGAGGGUGGUGGCCCUCCCAGAUGGGUGGCCACGUGCUCUGUGGCUGACCGCUGCUGCAGAUGUCUAACAAGGAAGAGCCCAACCUUGGCUGCGCUCAGUUCAUCUUGGGGGAGCAGCAGGCGCCAGAGGAGAGACAGGCUGUGUAGUGGUUAGAGCAGAAUUCUGAAACCAGGUUGACUAGGGGAGCUGGGUGCUCUUGGACAAGUGACUUAACUUCUCUGUGCCUGAGUUUCUUCACCUGUAAAAUAGGGAUGAUAAUUCCUAAUGGGGUGGUUAUGCAGAUUUUAUGCUUAUAAACAGUGCCUAAGAAUGCAUCUGGCAGCAUAAAUACUAUAUAAAUUUUACCAGGCUAUGCUAUCAGACCCCACACCCCUCACCACCACUGCUCUAAGGACCACUGAGGGGACUGGUCUGGGGACUCCAACUGUCCCAAGCUCUAACCUUGAUAUGGAUAUCCCCCAAGAGCAAGGCUUAAAAUAAGGAUUCGGGUGUAAGCAGUUUAAGUGGUGAUCCCAGGGCGGUGAGGCCGGGAAGGACAGGAAGACAAUACAGCACCCAAUGACGGGUAAGUUGCCACUUCAGGCAAUGGGGCUCCUUCCCAAGGGAUCCUUUGAAAGACCCUGAAACAUUCUAGGGGCAAGAACACCGAGGUACUUAUCCACCAAGUCCCAUGCCUCAUCAGCUGAAGGCUGCUCCUGGGUUAUUUCUCCUCGGCAUUGGGCACUUCCGGCCUGCCUUGUGCUUGGGUCAAGCAUAAACCUAUGUCAGAGACACAGGUGCCUGUUCCCUUGAAUGAGAACUGUCCACCAAAGCUGCACAUGACCUCUGAGGGUGGUCUGAGGGCACAUUGUGGGGCACCAACACGUCUGCCACAACCUGUGAAACUUUGUGGCACACCAGGUGGUAAACUGCUUGAGGGAGGAACAAUUUGAUAGUUGUCAAAUUUUGCUAAUCCAAGUGAUACUGCAAUAAACAACCUCAUAUAUCCAUCGUUUUGCACACGUGCGAGUGUAUCCACAGGAUAUUAGUAUAAGUAGAAUUGCUGGACCAAAGGAUAUGUUCCUGUGUCAUUUUGAUGGAGACAGCCAGAACCGGCCUCCUGUGACACUGCCUGUCUCCUGCACCCUUGCCAACAUCCGUGCUAACACUCUUUGAUCUUUGUCAAUCUGGUCGAUGAAAAAAUAGUAUCCCAUACUUUAAAUUUUCAUUUUCCAAACUCUAAUUGAGGUCGGCAUCUUUUAAUAGUUUGAAAGCCAUCUGUACCCCUAAUAAGUUAAUGGAUCUACACAAUGACCAACGAAGGCUGGAGAUAGCGCAAAAAGACAGGCCUCGUGUGCUUCCUGGCAAAGGAACACAGCACGUCCAUGAAAUAUUCUUGCCCCAAAAGUCAAAUCUGAAUUUGACGAAAGCCUCUAAAUGUAACCACCAUUGAUGGAAAAUACAGGGGACAGAGGGACAUAAUAAAUGAUCCAUGGGAAUGUAAUCAGUAAAAUGCAGGCUGGAGGCAACUUCUCAGGACACGUAACCGCACUUCUGCACUUCCACUUCCGGGAAGAUGGAGCAGAUGUACUUUUCCCUUUCUCUACUGCUAAGUAGAACUAACAACCCUGGACGAUGUAUACAAAGCAAACCUAAGAAAGCUCUGAAAGGUGGAGAGGAAGCACACCCACCAUGCACCUCAGAACCUGAGGAACGACAUGGCAGCGAGUUCUCUGGGCAUUCUUUCUGCCUCAGAGAUCCUAGACUCACAGCUGAAGAGGCAAGAGCUGGCUACCCAAAAAAGCCCACGGUCAGAGAAAACAAAAAACAGCCCCAGCAAAGCCUGCACACUCUAGUCAAAGGAUUAGGAAAGGAACAACCUAGCAAAACAGAAAAUUCUUAGACAAUAAUAGCUCUACUCCAGCCAAAUACCACUGAAAAGACUAUGGCAUCAGCCAAGGCUGAGUGGGGAGCCCAGACUUCCACCUUCACGAGUCAAGGUUCCCCAACACCCCCACCAAUGUGGGGCAUUGUGAGAUAAGGUCAAGGGAACCAAAACUGUCAUCUGUGCUGGCCAGGAAUGAGCCCUCUCCUGCCGCCCCCUUUCCCUGAAAUGUCAAGGAAGACCACACUGGGACCCCAGAAUUCCUCCCCCACCUGGCGAUAAUGCAAGUGGGUAAAGGGACAUAAAAGAAGGUAAAGUCCUACACUUCACUCAACCUGGUAAAAUGAUGACACCAGUAGACUGUGUUAAAUUAUGUAUAAAUAAUGUAAUACCUAGUGCAAUCACUAAAAAAUGUAUGCAAAGAGACUCACUCAAAAACUAUAGAUAAAUUCAAAUGGAAUUGGAAAAAAAAUGUUCAAAUAACCCACAGGAAGGCAGAAAAAAGAAAACAGGGAAAUGAAUAACAGAAAGAACGCACCGAAAAUAAAAAAAAAACAAAACUUGACAGAUAUAUCUUAGCAUACCAAUAAUUAUAUUAAAUGUAAAUGUCUGAAUAUACCAAUUAAAAGACAGAUAUUGGCAGAGCAAAUUUGAGAAAUCAACUAUAUAUUGUUUGUAGGAGACUCACUUCAAAUAUAUAGGCAGGUUGAAAGAAAAAGGAUAAAAAAGAUAUAUCUUGCAAACACUAAUCAAAGGAAAACAGCAAAACUUGAUAGAACUAAAAGGAGAAACAGACAAAUCCGCAAUCAAUACCCUUCUCUCAACAACUGACAGAACAACUAGACAGAAAAGUCCCCAAUGACAUAGGAGAACUCAACACCACCAGCCACCAACAGGAUCCAAUUGACAUUAACAACAGCAGCAGAACACACAUUCUUUCCAAGUGCCCACAGCACAUAAACCAAGAUCGGCCAUAUUCUGGGCAAUAAAACAAACCUCAACAAAUUUAAAAGAAUUGAAAUCAUACAAAGUACGUUCUCUUACCACAAUGAACUCAAAACUAGAAAUCAAUAACAGAAAGAUAACAUGAAAAUCUCCAACACUUAGAAACUAAACAACACAUUUCUAAAUAAUUCAUGGGUCAAAGAGGAUGUCUCAAGGGAAAUAAAAAAUACAUUGAACUGAGUGAAAUGAAAAUACAACAUAUUAAAAUUUGUGGGAUGUGGUUAAAGCAGUGCCAAGAGGGAAAUUUAUGCAAUAAAUGCAUACAUUAGAAAUGAGAAAAAGUCUCAACUCAAUGGUCUAAGCUUCUACCUCAAGAAACUAGAAAAAGCAGAACUCACAAAAGUAAACUCAAAACAACAGAAGGAAAUAAUCAAGAUCAGAGCAGAAAUCAGUGAAAUCUCAAGACAUCCAAAGAAAUAAAGAACUCUGAUAAAGGGAACUACAUAGGUAAAUAUAAAAGGAAUGUAUUGUAUUUUUGGUUUGUAACUCUCUUUAUUUCUACAUGAUUUUAAACACAAAUGCAGGGUGCCAGCCUGGUGGUGUAGUGGUUAAGUUUGCAUGCUCUGCUUUGGCAGUCCAGGGUUCACAGGUUCAGAUCCUGGGUGUGGACCUACCCACCACUCAUCAAGCCAUGCUGUGGUGGCAUCUCACAUACAAAAUAGAGGAAGGCAGCCACAGAUGUUAGCUCAGUGACAAUCUUCCUCAAGCAAAAAGAGGAAGAUUGGCAACAGAUGUUACCUCGGGGCCAAUCUUCCAUACCAAAAAAUAAGUAAAUAAAAAUAAAACACAAAUGCAAAAAAAUUAGAAAUCUAUGUUAAUGGACAUACAAUAUAUAAAGAUAUAACUUGUGACAAAAAUAAUAUAAAGGGGGCAGCAUGGAGCUGUGUAGGAGCAGUUUUUGUCUAUUAUAGGAGUUAAUUUGGUAUGAAUUCAAACUAAAUUGUUAUAAAUUUAAGAUGUUAAUUGUAAUCCCUGUGGUGACCAUCAAGAAAAUAUCCUAAAAAUAUACACCAAAGGAAAUGAGAAGAAAUGGAGGACUUGCAACAGUGUAAACCAAUUAGACCUAACAAACAUCUGUAGAACAGCAAAAUACACAUUCUGUAGUGCACAUGAAAUGUGCUCCAGGAUAGACAGUACGUUAAACCAGAGGACAAGUCUCAACAAAUUUAAAACACUGAAAUCAUGUAAUGUAUGCUAGAAAUCAAUAACAGGAGGAAAACUGGGAAAUGCACAAAUUUGUAGAAAUUAAACAACAAACUGUUAAAUAACCAAUGAAUCAAAGAAGAAAUCACAGAGGAAAUUAGAAAAUACUUAGAGACAAAGGACCAAAAACUUAUGGGAAGCAGUAAAAGUCGUGCUCAGAGGGACAUUUAUAGCAGUAAAUGCAACUUAUUACUCGAAAAGUACAAACUACCAUAAUUCACCCGAUAUGAAAUAGAUCAUUUGAACGGCCCUGUAACAGUUAAGGAAAUUGAUUUUGUAGUUUAAAAACUUCCCCCUUCCAAAAAUCUCUAGGCUCAGAUGAUUCCAUUGGAGAAUUCUACUAAAUGUUUAAAAGAAGAAUUAACACUGUUUAUGCACAAUCGCUUCCAGAAAAUAGAAGAGGAGGGAAGCGAUUACCUUGAUACCAAAACCAAAGAUUCAGAGGAACCGACUGCAAUCUUUAGAGUUAAGAUGGAUUCUCAUUCUAAGAAAAUUCAAAUCAAGAAAAUGUUUUUAUAAGGCAAUCAGGGAAAUUUGCGUACUGACUAAAUGUUAAGAAAAUAUUAAGACUUUUUAUGUACAUUAAUACUAUUUUGGUUGUGUAUAUUAAAAUAGUCCUUAUUGUUUAGAGACACAUACUGAAAUAUUUACGGAUGAAAUAAUGUGACACCUGGGAUGUAUUUAAAAUCAUUCAGGGCUGGGGAUGGGGAAGUCAGGGGACCAUGAGCAGAUAUUUGUGGACCCCAGGGAGGCACAUGGAGGUUGUUAGACUAUUCUUCUCUGUAUGUUUAAAAUUUUCCAUAAGAACUUUUUAGGCCACUUGUUUUCUUUUUUUAUAAUCUUCCUGGUCAUGACUUUUGUAACACUUUCUAUUGCAUUCUUGUUUUUUCUUACUGAUUUGUCAGACUUCUUUUUUAAAAACGUGUUAAGGAAAUCAGCCCUUUAUCACUCAUACACAUAAAUACUUCUUAGUUUCUUAUUUGUCUUUUGAGUAUCUUUCUCUUUUUUUACAGAAAAUUUUAAUAUUACUGGAUAUUUUGGCCCAAAUGUUUUGACCCCGUAGAUAUAUUUACCCCAGGACUAUUUUGACUAUUUUGAGUUUUGAAUCCAAAUAUUUUUAUCAGAAUUACACUAAUCUUAAUACAUCAAGAAAGAGUUUUCUUGAGCAAGCUGCAUGAAGCCAAUUUAAUUCCUUGAUCCGUUAUUUUAUGACCAAAGUUAAAUUCUUUCUAAUGUCUCCUAUUUUGAAUUUAAUUUUCCAAAAUGAGUUUUCCAUGACAAUCACUUGGUUUCAUAGAGUAAAUGCCACCAUGAAGAUUUAAUUCUUCUCUCAGUCAUUUUUAGUCUACAUCUGAUUUCACUGGUUUCCUGCCAUUGUGUGUUGUCUACUGUGUCCAUUAUUUCUAAUUGGUCCAAUUUUUUCAGGUCAAAUUUGAUUCUCUAAAUGUCAUAAUUUUAUUUUCUGUUGGGAUCUUAGUCAACAUCUGAUUCAAUGUGGUUUGAGUUUCUGUCACCUUGAUUCUGUGUUGGUAUUUCUACACAUCUGUGGUAGGUUGUAUUAUUUGCUCACAAUUCUACUUUCCCUUGCCUCUACCCAUUGAUGCUGGGCUUGACUGUGGAUGGCAGACUAUAUUUUCCAAAGAUGGCCACGACAAUAUUUCCCAUCUCAUGUGCUUCUCACGUCUUCCACUGUGCUCUUGAUGUCCUCCCAUCGUGUAGCGAAGUUUAUGUCCUUUCCACCUUGAACCUGGGUGAAAGUGUGAGUGCCUUGACCAAUGGGGUUUGACAGAAGUGAUGCUAUGUGUCUUCUGAGGCUAGAUGAUAAAAAUGCAAUACACUUCCCACUUGCUCUCUUGGAACACUUGCUCUUGGGAUCCACCCACCGUGCUUUGAGGGAGCCCAAACUAGCCUGCACAGAGAGAGCACCUGCGGAUGCCACAGAGAGGUGUUCCAGGUGACAGCUCCUGCUGAGGUCCCAGCAGAUAGCCAGCAUCAACCACCAGAUGUGUGAGUGAAAACACCUCCAGAAGGUUCUGGCCACGGCCUUUGAGUGUUUCCAGCCGAGGCUCCAGAUGUUCUAGAGCAGAGGCAAGCAGUUCCCACUGUGCCCUGCCUGAAUUCCUGACCAGCAGAAUCGAUUCAUGAGGACUGGAAUGAGGUCUCAGUCCCUCUGUUCCCAGAGCCCAGUACACAGUGGAGGCACAAUAAAUAUUGGUUGAUUGACUGAAUAUCGUGUCCCAGCUGCUCUGCUGAAUCCUUCCACUGGCAUCCGGGGUGUCAGUGGAGGUGUGCUGCCUGGACUUGUCUUCAGGAGAACCUUGAGGAGGCUAUGCUAUGACGAGGGGAGUUGUGUGACCACCUCCAGC